This 1256-nucleotide long non-coding RNA is filed under the name Nicotiana benthamiana. Its description in RNAcentral is "long non-coding RNA (NBEN_LNC032236)". Lineage: Eukaryota; Viridiplantae; Streptophyta; Magnoliopsida; Solanales; Solanaceae. The record is from RNAcentral.
UUACACAAGACGACAUAAAAACCCUAGCACUUCAUCUCCCUUAUUACAUAAAAAACAAACCCUAUGCUAACCCUUCUUCUUCAUGAACUCACACAAGAAUACCAUUGAACUCCAUAGCCAGAGCCACUGGACUCCCUUCACCAAGGAGGCAUCCACCGCCGGACCACCCCGAAAUCUGCUGCUCACUCCAUCAUCCUCGCCACCAGCUAAACCUUAACCUACUACCAUCGCCGCCCCUCGCCGGCAAUCACCACAACCACCAAUUGCCGCCCCACCACCUCUCCAUCUUCAGCCUUGGAACAAGACAUAUACACGGUAUAAAAACUGAGACCUCUAACCUAGAACCUUAAGACACCAACGACCACUGCUCGUUUCGGCCAGCCGCCUGCCAACCUUACUCAAAACGAUCCACCUUCUUUAACCCCCAAACCGCCAUUAGCAGCAUCCAUCUCCUCCUCUAACCAAAAAAAAAUCGUCAACCUCCUUUCACUCACCAAUCCGCCGUCGUCCAUCUCCCAACCCAAACUUGUCAGACUUACAACGACCACUAGACCUCCACGCCGCCAACCAGUGACCCUUUCUAUUCUCCAACGAUUAGUCGUCCAUCACCAUAAAAAUGGCUCCUAAUAGAAAUCCUUUACCCACGCAUAGACGUAGCAGCACAAUGAGAUAACGAGGCAGUUCGGUCAGGGUUUGACGAGGUUUUCCGGCGAGGUUCCAGUUUGAGUCUUGUGCGCGGUUCAGUUGCCUAGCAUCCUUUAACUGUCCAAAUUGGAUUUCAUAUCUAUUCGAGGUUUAUUUAUCGUUUUUUAACUAUUUUAGCUUAAUUCAAUGCUCCUGGUAGUCUCGUUAAUCACUUUUUAAUCCGUUGUGUUGAUAUUUUGAAUUAAUGUUUCAUUUUGUUUGUGAUGCCUUAGUAGAAUUUGUUCGCGCGUUUUUGGUUAUGCGUAUUACUGUUCGUGUGUUUCAUUACUGUUUGAUUUCUCUUGGGCAUUUUUAAGAGGUUGAUCCAUGUUAGUCAUUUGGGAUUCUUUGAAUUGUUAACGGACAUUCUUGUGAAUUUGGACGAAUCUGGCGGUUAGUUAUUGGGUUUAAGAGAACAUAAGUUACGGAACUAAGUAAAACAUAAGUUGUUUAUGUUCUGAAUUUCUCAUUUACAUAGAUCUCGUUACUAAUUUAUGACUAGGAGCAUGCUUAGGCCGUCAUCACUCGGGUAGGAAAGCCUUAGGAUUUUGUUAGUUUCGAGGUGAAAGGUC